CUGUGCUAGGUGGGGAGUUAGCGGUGCCCUGUAACCCGAAAUCCGCUCUAGCGGGACCGAAUACCCACUCUUGAGGUCUCCUCGCUGCUGGAUCCUGAAGAUACGCGAUGUUGAUGGCCAAGUCCCGCGCAAUGGGAUGUCGCCCAAUCCCGUCAGGCCCGGGAGGGAGCAGCGGUAAGCGAUAAUCGCAUGUGCCGUGGGGUAGCUUGGUCGGAAUCGGCGACCUUCAGGUGAAAAGCAGACGGAAGGCCGAUGGUGGGGCACAG
Molecule: signal recognition particle RNA, 266 nt
Filed under: Bacteroidota bacterium
Lineage: Bacteria; Pseudomonadati; Bacteroidota
Description: Bacteroidetes bacterium (marine metagenome) signal recognition particle sRNA large type
Rfam family: Bacterial large signal recognition particle RNA
About the family: The signal recognition particle (SRP) is a universally conserved ribonucleoprotein involved in the co-translational targeting of proteins to membranes. Archaeal SRP consists of a 7S RNA and homologues of the eukaryotic SRP19 and SRP54 proteins.
Source: RNAcentral